This 2582-nucleotide long non-coding RNA is filed under the name Homo sapiens (human). Its description in RNAcentral is "HSALNT0143353". Lineage: Eukaryota; Metazoa; Chordata; Mammalia; Primates; Hominidae. The record is from RNAcentral.
AGUCCUAAAAUCUGAUAGUUUAGGUACCCCAACCUCUUUUUUACCCUUUGAUAUUGUCAGGUAGCCUAAGUUUUCCAACUAUGUUCUUUUUCAAGAUUAUUUAGGUUAUCAGCAUGAUCAUGUCUGCUUUAAAAGCAGCUUGUCCAUAUCUUUUUAAGUUUCUUGUCAUUUGACUUUAAUAUCACAAUUCUUGUAGGAUUGCAUUCAAUCCUACAAUAAAGAAUAGUCAUCUGAUAAAAUUUGGAUGUUUGUCCCUUCCAAAUCUCAUGUUGAAAUGUGAUUCUCGAAAGAAAUGGAGCCUGGUGGGAGAUGCUUUGGUCAUGAGGGCUGAACCCUCAUGAAUGGCUUGGUGCUGUCCUGGCAGUAAUGAGUCAGUUCUACUCUAUGAGUCCGUGCAAGAUCUGGUUAUUUAAAAGAGCCUGACACCUCCUCCCUCUGGCUCUAGCUCCCCCUCUCACUCCCUCUCUCGCUAUGUGACACACUGGCUCCUUUUGCCUUCUGCCACGACUGUAAGCUUCUUGAAGCCCUCACUAAAAGCAGAAGCUGGCAUGAUGCUUCAGCCUGCAGAACCAUAAGCCAAAUAAACCACUUUUCUUUAUAAAUUACCCAACCUCAGGUACUUCUUUAUAGCAAUGCAAAAUUGACUAAUACACCAUCUUAAAAAUAUUUUGUCUUGGCCAGGCGCAGUGGCUCACGCCUGUAAUCUCAACACUUUGGGAGGCCAAGGAGAAGAGCAAGUAAAAUGUUGAACAAGAAGACAGAAGUGUCUUCUUGCAGUUCCUGUAAGAAGGCAGAAGUAUUUGCAGAGGGGAGAAUGUGGAAGAAAUAGAGAAUAAUUAUCUCUUACCAAAUGUAAUGGCUUUUGUUGUGUUUUUUCUUUUCUAAUAAAAUAGUGUUAGCUGCCCUUUUCGUGUUUCUGUUUGUCUGUCAAAUAUUUUCCUGUCAUUUACAAGUUAUUUUUUAUUUAUAAUUUUAAGUAUUUUGUAAACAAUUUGUGAUUUGAUUUUGUGUUUUAAACCUUAUCCAAGCAUUUGUCAUUUACUAAAAUAAUUAACCCAUUUACUUGUUUUAUCAUACGGAAGUCUACCUUUUAACUGACACUUUAAGUGAUAGAAUAGUGCUUAUUAUAACUUAGGGUACAAGUGAUUUUUAACAAUGUAGUAAUGGCUAAAUUACAAAGCAAAGACACUACUACCGAGCUCAGUGGAAAGACAAAAUCACUCUACAAUUGGUUCUUUCAUAUAUUGAAAAUAUCAUCAAUUAAAAAAAUAAACAUCACAUCAGACGGAACCAGAGACACUCAAGAAGAACAAACUGCAAGGAAAAUUUGACCAACAAAUUAUAGCAAGAGCAAGAGUUUAACACUUGGGAUCCUUUUUUUUUCUAUUAAGAAUAUGUUGUGGCCUUUUUGGGCUUCCAAAAAUGACGUUAUAAUAGGUUUAGCUAAUAAUAAUGAGUUAACAUUGAGUGGCUGUUUUGUGGGAGGCACUGUUCUAAGAGUUUUACAUUUAUCAACUUAUGUAAUCCUCACAAAGAUACUAAAAGCUCCUAUAAGUCUCCUUACUAUUAGAUAGUAUGCACCCAGUAUUGCCAUAACCAUCAGAGAAAUACCAAAACCCUUCUGGGUUUUUCUGUAACAUAUUACUUAGUAACCACUUUGCUAUGUACCCUGUGUAUAUGUUUAGAAAAUAAAAGAAAAUCUAUUCUAAUGUGUGUAUUAAAAUGGCAAUACUGGUGCAUAUUAUCUAACAGUAAAGAGCAACUCUUUAAUUAUUGAGACCACAAGUCACCAAAUAAUGUCACCUGGCAGUGGUCAGAGACAGGUGAUGGGGUCUAAGGGUGGUGCUGGCUCAUAGGAAGAAAGACCUUGGUGACUGUUGAGGAAACUAAGGCUACAGAGAGGCUGUGCGGUGGCAAGAGUGUCUGCGGUGCCUACUGGCUGCUCCUUGGAAGCCCAGCAUUGGCAGGGGCAUCUGUCCAGGUGGCAGGACAGGUGGUAUUCACAGCAGCAUUGUCAGCAUGAACCAAGGUUCAAGCAAUAGAGUAUGUAUUCCCAUCUAAAUGAAUACUUGGCUCUGCCUUAUAAGCAAUGUGUCCAGCCACCUUCUGGCUGCAACAAAACACCAGGCAUCAAGCCACCUUCUGGCUAAAAUAAAGCACUAGACACCAAGGACCUAAUGAUAAUGAGUUAAAUGGGAAUGUUGAAACAUUUUGAUGCAGUUCCUAUGUCAAGCCAUGACUCAUCGGGGUAAAAUCGCAAUUACCACUUUUCAAAAUUAACAGGAGAUUUGCGAAUAAAAUGAUUUGAUAAGGAGUUUUCUCUGUAACCACAUUAUUUAGUAACCACUUUGCUAUGUACCCUGUCUAUAUAUUUAGAAAAUAAAAAAAAAUAUAUUUUAAUAUAUGUAUUUAUUUAAGUAAUAAUUUAUAUUACUAUACCAGUGGCUGAGUAUGUUGAAUAUUAUAUCGGAGAUCUAUUUUUAUUCCCUUUUUUACAGAUGAAGAAACUAGACACAGAAUAGUUAAGUAGCUUGUCCAAGGUUAUAAAUACCAGCUCUGAGUAAAUAUCAGAGCUGAGAUUC